AACGAACGCUGGCGGCAUGCCUAACACAUGCAAGUCGAACGAGACCUUCGGGUCUAGUGGCGCACGGGUGGGUAACGCGUGGGAACCUGCCCUUAGGUUCGGUAUAACUCCCCGAAAGGGGUGCUAAGACCGGAUAAUGUCUUCGGACCAAAGAUUUAUCGCCUUUGGAUGGGCCCGCGUUGGAUUAGUUAGUUGGUAGGGUAAAAGCAUACCAAGGCGACGAUCCAUAGCUGGUCGGAGAGCAUGAUCCGCCACACUGGGACUGCGACACGGCCCAGACUCGUACGGGAGGGAGCAGUAGAGAAUAUUGGAGAAUGGGCGCAAGCCCGAUCCAGCCGCGUCGGGGGAGUGAUGAAGGGCUUAGGGUUGUAAAGCUCUCUUACCCGGGACGAUAAUGACAGUACCGGGAGAAUAAGCUCCGGCUAACUACGUG
Molecule: ribosomal RNA, 433 nt
Filed under: uncultured bacterium
Lineage: Bacteria
Description: partial 16S ribosomal RNA
Rfam family: Bacterial small subunit ribosomal RNA
Source: RNAcentral